CGGGCUCAACCUGGGAACUGCAUUCGAAACUGGCAGGCUUGAGUCUUGUAGAGGGGGGUAGAAUUCCAGGUGUAGCGGUGAAAUGCGUAGAGAUCUGGAGGAAUACCGGUGGCGAAGGCGGCCCCCUGGACAAAGACUGACGCUCAGGUGCGAAAGCGUGGGGAGCAAACAGGAUUAGAUACCCUGGUAGUCCACGCCGUAAACGAUGUCUACUUGGAGGUUGUGCCCUUGAGGCGUGGCUUCCGGAGCUAACGCGUUAAGUAGACCGCCUGGGGAGUACGGCCGCAAGGUUAAAACUCAAAUGAAUUGACGGGGGCCCGCACAAGCGGUGGAGCAUGUGGUUUAAUUCGAUGCAACGCGAAGAACC
RNAcentral lists this ribosomal RNA (367 nucleotides) under Salmonella enterica. RNAcentral describes it as "bacterial SSU rRNA". It matches the Rfam family "Bacterial small subunit ribosomal RNA", at positions 604 to 970 of the family's 1533-position model. RNAcentral also lists the same sequence under 1 other name. Lineage: Bacteria; Pseudomonadati; Pseudomonadota; Gammaproteobacteria; Enterobacterales; Enterobacteriaceae. The record is from RNAcentral.